CACAGUGACUGCCCUGGCUUUCUUUGCUUUGCCUCCUGUCUGUGUUUGAAAUCCCGAAAUCACCGCCUUGAGCUCUGAAGCCCAGCGGCUCCGAGGCUGCAAGCCUCUCCGCUGGCCCCAGAUGUGCAGCAUGCAGCUUGAAUCUCUGAGGACUCUGGUGGUGGAUGCCAACUCCAACUCACAGUGGGAAUCUGGCCCACAGGACCCAGCCUGCCACCCUCCAGGGAGCCGUGGAGAUUUCAGGAUUUCUCCUCUGCGAAAUGGGGAUAACAGCUCCCUCUUCAUCCGGUUAUGGUCAGGGCUGACCUAAGGGGGCUGAGGGUGAAGGCCACAGGCUGAGAAGCUCUUGCCAGUGGUCAGUGAGGAGCAGCAAAUUCGGGUCUUGGCACUUGAACUGUGGGAGGAUCAAUGCUGCUUGAAGCCAUCGGUUUCUGGGAAUUUGUCACAGCAGCCCAGGAAACACAUGCAGAAGGUUUGGAGAUUGGUCUUUCCGAUGACUAGGGUGCUUUGUGCCCAUUUCAACACUCUCUGCCCUCAGUGGCACAUUCAGACCACGUUGACUUGGGCAAUGGAGUCACCCUCUUUGGUUUCUGAAAUGCGGACACACGUUACAAUGGAAACGAGCACUUGGGGCUCCCUGUCUCGGAAAAGUUGUUGAAUCAAUGCACGUUGAUUGCUUCAGCAAUCUAGGAAAUACUAUCCCAACAAAGCAAUUUGAAAUUCCAAACCUGUGACCACUGGACAAGAUCACCUUUCUCCCACUGAGAAGAAGAUCAGCGUUGGCUCGGGCCAAGUCUGGGAGACAGACAAGGCCUCCUUUCAACAUCGUGCCUCCAGGGGAACCAGGCCAAGUAUCGGCCCUCCAGAGACAGCUGCAGCCCUUGGAGGCCUCCCCACUGAGUCCACACCCCUGGCCCAGGGCACUCAGGCUAGCUGACCGGCCCUGCUCCCUGGCCAGCCUCAUUUCCUCCUGUUCUCUUGCUUGGUGCCCCUAGCAGCCGUCUUGCACCUGGCCACUGCUUCCCACGCCAGGGCCUUUGCCUUUGCUGUUCCCCUGCCUGGCAUGGUCUCGUCAUUCAGGGCUCAGCCUGAAUGUCACCUCCUCCUGGAAGCCUUACCCUCAUCUCGUUAUGUCCUACCCCAUCACCCUAUUUCUUUCCCUUGGGUCACCAGUAAGAACCUGGGUUGAGCUUGUGCAGCCGUCUCAUUGUCUUAGCCUCACGAAACUGUAAACCCUUUGACAAAAGGGAUCUGUCUGGUUUGUUUGACGUGUAACCCCAGCUUCCAGCCUAGCACAGAGAAAGCUCCAUGGAGACACUGACUGUCAGAUGACUGCAGACCUCCCCACAAGGAGGAGGGAAGCUGGCCUCCAAGGAGGCGCAUCCCACAGUGCAGUGGUCUCUGGCCAGGGUGGGUCAUUACGCCAUUGGUUUAUAGCGCCAUUUGCUUCGGCCCCUUUUGGUGGCAUCCCAGGGUUUAAAGUGACCAGGCAGCUAGUGUGGGGAGACGGGACACAGCUGUCUGAGGUCAGGGGGUCUGUAUGUGCCUCUCCGGCAGGGAACAGCCUCGGCCGUCAGAAGCCAGGUUUCAGCAUUUAGGAUGCAGCCAACAGCCAAAUUGCUUUCUUGGUUUUAUAUAUAAGGGCUUUUUUUGGUACCAUAAGGGCGGGUGGACAGGGCUGCCUUUGCUUCCUGGAGGGUCUGGUUCCUUUCGGGGAAGGUCUCAGUUGGCCACUGGAGUAACAGCACUGCGUCGGCCCAUGUGGCCAGCCAGCAUCCCUGUGCUCAUGGCUAAGGACAGGCUGUUACUCUGUUCUGCGGGUCUUGAAGUCAUUUGGUCAAGUGGACUUCAGAAGGAGAGAGAGAGAAGGACAGACAGCAUCCAUGGAGACUGCCACAGAGAAUGGAAAGAGAAUGGGAUCUGCAGUCUGAUGGGCUGGCAUAUCUCAGCAGCAGCAACAACAACACAAUAAUAUGGAAUUCAGUCCAGGCACGGUGGUUCCCGCCU
This 2007-nucleotide long non-coding RNA is filed under the name Homo sapiens (human). Its description in RNAcentral is "HSALNT0402047". The record is from RNAcentral. Lineage: Eukaryota; Metazoa; Chordata; Mammalia; Primates; Hominidae.